Chrysoperla carnea is the source of this 77-nucleotide long non-coding RNA. RefSeq lists it as uncharacterized. The record is from RefSeq and is a predicted model, not a curated record. Lineage: Eukaryota; Metazoa; Arthropoda; Insecta; Neuroptera; Chrysopidae. The transcript has 3 exons.
AAAUUGAAUCCAGGUAGCAUCCCUCGCGUUCGUUCGUAAUAUAAUACUUCUUAGUGAACUUUGUGUUCGAUGGCGUG